RNAcentral lists this ribosomal RNA (283 nucleotides) under Rhizophagus intraradices. The record is from RNAcentral. Lineage: Eukaryota; Fungi; Glomeromycota; Glomeromycetes; Glomerales; Glomeraceae.
CAGUCGUACCGGCGGAUAAUCAGCCUUUCGGGUGCGAUUCUGUGGGGCGUGAGGAGCUUAACCGCCUUCAUGUUUUGCAUAUUCGUGCACAUUUGGUGUACUUGUCCGUGUGGUGGGCUAACAUCAAUUUCGGUCGUCAUAAAAUGAUUGGAGGAAUGUAGCUUUGAUCUCGUAUCGAAGUGUUAUAGACUCUGGUAGAUGUGACGAUUGGGGAUUGAGGAUUGCAACGGAUACCCCCGUUCGGGGCCUACCCGUCUGAUCUCUGAUCGUUGCUUUGGUGCCG